This 465-nucleotide ribosomal RNA is filed under the name uncultured bacterium. RNAcentral describes it as "partial 16S ribosomal RNA". It matches the Rfam family "Bacterial small subunit ribosomal RNA", at positions 28 to 507 of the family's 1533-position model. The record is from RNAcentral.
GACGGACGCUGGCGGCGUGCUUAACACAUGCAAGUCGAACGGAAAGGCCCUGCUUGCAGGGUACUCGAGUGGCGAACGGGUGAGUAACACGUGGGUGAUCUGCCCUGCACUUCGGGAUAAGCCUGGGAAACUGGGUCUAAUACCGGAUAGGAGCCAUUUUUAGUGUGAUGGUUGGAAAGUUUUUUCGGUGUAGGAUGAGCUCGCGGCCUAUCAGCUUGUUGGUGGGGUAAUGGCCUACCAAGGCGGCGACGGGUAGCCGGCCUGAGAGGGUGGACGGCCACAUUGGGACUGAGAUACGGCCCAGACUCCUACGGGAGGCAGCAGUGGGGAAUAUUGCACAAUGGGCGCAAGCCUGAUGCAGCGACGCCGCGGGGGGGAUGACGGCCUUCGGGUUGUAAACUCCUUUCGCUAGGGACGAAGCUUUUUGUGACGGUACCUAGAUAAGAAGCACCGGCUAACUACGUG